UACGGAGGGUGCUAGCGUUGUUCGGAAUUACUGGGCGUAAAGGGCGCGUAGGCGGCCGUUUGCGUCGGAUGUGAAAGCCCGGGGCUCAACCUCGGAACGGCAUUCGAUACGGGACGGCUGGAGACCGGGAGAGGAGAGUGGAAUAGCCAGUGUAGAGGUGAAAUUCGUAGAUAUUGGGAGGAACACCAGUGGCGAAGGCGGCGCUCUGGGCUGGAACUGACGCUGAGGAGCGAAAGCGUGGGGAGCGAACAGG
Molecule: ribosomal RNA, 253 nt
Filed under: uncultured bacterium
Lineage: Bacteria
Description: partial 16S ribosomal RNA
Rfam family: Bacterial small subunit ribosomal RNA
Source: RNAcentral